GUUUGCGGAACCUGAGUGCUGGGCUGC
Molecule: non-coding RNA, 27 nt
Filed under: Cricetulus griseus (Chinese hamster)
Lineage: Eukaryota; Metazoa; Chordata; Mammalia; Rodentia; Cricetidae
Source: RNAcentral